Molecule: long non-coding RNA, 16587 nt
Filed under: Lathyrus oleraceus (garden pea)
Lineage: Eukaryota; Viridiplantae; Streptophyta; Magnoliopsida; Fabales; Fabaceae
Description: Pisum sativum (pea) long non-coding RNA (PSAT_LNC034761)
Source: RNAcentral
AGAUUAUUUUCAUCAUUCUUUUCACUAUAAUCGCUCCAAAAUAUCAUUGUUCGAAUUCCUUAAAUACUGCUUUCUUUGGUCAGCUGGCUAGACUUCUCAAUUUUUCAAUUGAGUUCUCUUUAUGGUGAGUGCUCCUGUGUAUAUAUCUUUUCUCUUUUUUGUUUUUCAUUAAAAUCUUAUUGAUCUUCUUUUUCACUUUGUUUCCUCUUUUUUUCUUCUUAAGGUGCAAUCACUUUUUUGUACUAUUGUGCAACUACCCCAAACUUAAAGGUUACUAUUACAUCAAUAACCUCAAACUUAAAAUGAAACAUAGAUUCAAAAAUAAAAGAUAAUAAUAUGAACAGGGUAGGGAAGUGUUUUAGGCUAUUAGUUCAUGAUAUGGUAAAUAGUAACAAAUAAAAAGGGAUAUACGUUCAACAUGGGUUAACAAAGGAUAUACUAAUAGACGAGAUGGCUAGAAAGGCUCAAGGGUGUAAAAAAAAUGUGCCUUAGUGUGUGUAAUAUGCACAGGCUAUCACAAAAGAGCAGACACAAGUUCUAGAUGAUAUAUACCUGAAUGGUGUCACAGGAUGAAAUUUGUGUUUGGCUUUUUCUGUUCUCACCAUGUUGAUAAGGGCCAACAAUUUCCAAAGUGCCUCGCAUGUGAUGCAACUUUUCAUACUUUCAACGUGACCUGACACCCCCUUUCAGUAAAAUGUCCGGAGAACCAUGUCAAAUCGUUUCAAAAAUACUGUCAUUGCUUGGUAUUAUCAUGAUUUGGGCAGACAAACUUUGUCUGGGUGUUCACAGUCUACCGCUCAUGCGAGUUAUCAUCACUUAAAUAACAUAAACAUAAAAUGAAUUAACUGAAAAUACCAAAAUUGUAAUAGACUCUGAGUUUUUGGCAACACAUAGAAAAAACAAAAAAUGAAAGUACAUCAGCUCAUCAAUCAUAAAGUAAAAAAAAACUAAAAAUAAAGAUAAAAAUAAAGAAAAAUAAAGCUAAUCUUCGUAUGCGUCCCUAUUUUUAUCCAUCAUCGGAGUGUCAUAGCUGAUCAUGGCAUUUGGGUCGCCAUGAUGCACAAAGGAUGAAAUUGGAGAGAAAAUAGAAAGGUGAUGGAGGGUCGCCUAAAAACCGGUCUCUGAAGCCCUGAUCCAUCAUCGGAGUGUCAUAGCUGAUCAUGGCAUUUGGGUCGCCAUGAUGCACAAAGGAUGAAAUUGGAGAGAAAAUAGAAAGGUGAUGGAGGGUCGCCUAAAAACCGGUCUCUGAAGCCCUGGGCAGCUCUCCUCGUUUCGACUUGAUGGGUGAGGUAUCGACCAAGCAAGCCAAUAUGUGUAUAAAAAUCUUGCGUAAAACAAAACAUAGACAUUCGAUAAAUGUGUUCUUGAGAGUCAUCAUAAGCAAGAUGAACUCUCUCAAGUACAUAUUUGGGCUGGGGCUCGUAUGUGUCGGAUCUAGUAGGCUCUGCUGGAUGUUCCUUAGUAGGUGCUUUCCUCCUAGGGUGCUCGGUUAUCGACCCACCAUCCAAUGGUCGUGUCGGGUUCACCAUGAAGCCAUCAGUGAAAUUCGGUACCCCGACUUUCCUGCAUAAAAGAAGGAUGACAAAAGCAUGUCCCAGAGACUUGUUUGUCUGACUUUGGGCCAUCUCAUCCAUGUCAGCAACAAUAAUACGACCGACGUUAACAACACGUCGGUUCAACAGAUAAUAUAAAGCUAAAGCUCACAUAGUGAUGAGUUAUGACCCACUAUGAUUAGUGUUCAGAGUGUUGUGCAAGAAGUAGGCCCACGCCUUCAAAAUAACAUUGAGAUCCACUAUAGCCAGCUUCCUAGGAAUCGGGGUAGAAGCAGGCUUCUGAUAUCUUUCCUCAAGUGCAAAGCAACCCAACACCACUGGGCAAGGCUAUCCAGUCCUAGAGGACGUCUUCAUCAUCUGAUACUCAUAGUUCGACUCUCAAAACUUCAUCUGUAAUAACAUGUUCAUUAUUUUCCAGUCAUACUGGAUUUGCUUCCCUUUGACCCAAGAGAUCAAUAUAGGUUCUGCAACAGCGUGUUUGGAAGGGGGUCGGUAGGCAUUCACAUAAAACACCAUUACCAACAUCCUUAGCCACUGGCUGUAUUUGACUGUUCAGAUAAGUCUGUUUAUGGUACUUUAGUACAACAUGAAUGUAAGGGUGUUGGUUGGGGUCAAGGUGAAAUGUUUUUUCCUCAAUUAUUUUUCUGUCCAACAAGGAAUAAUAUCGUUCUUCAAGUUCAGCAAAGAAGAACCUGUUUGAAUCAUGAGCAGGAGAAGAAGAAGUAGCCAUUUGUUAUAGAUCUGGCCUGUUAUAGAUGAAAUCUAAGGAAAAACAAGAAAACUCAGAGAAACAGUGUUAGAGAAAAAAGGAACGCGCAUGGAAAAUGUCAAAAAACUGUCAAAAAAAUUAUAUAUAAUGCCUUGUACAAGCCAUACAUGUAUCUUACGCGCAUUACCAAGGAUAUACGCGUAUGAGAUAUCCCAUACGCGUAUGGGCAGAGGGAAGAAGCAGUUGAAAUUGUAGAUCACGUUUGAUACACGUAUGCUUCCAGGUGGCCAUUGCAUACGCGUAUCACCCGGCCAUACGCGUAUGACCCAAUUUUUUAAAAAUGGCCUGAUAAUUGAUGUUCCCUAUACACGUAUGGUGCCUUCCAUACGCAUAUGGGAAGAGGCCCUGGUUUUUGUGAAAAUUUUGCAUACACCAUUUGUGUAUGGACUAACCCAUACGCGUAUGGACAUAAUGCUUGCAAAUAGAGGAAAAAUAGGGCACCCCAUACGCGUAUGAACUAGGCCAUACGCGUAUGGGCAGAAGGAUGGACAAAAAUUGAAAUUUGUUUCUGUCUCUCAUUUUUUCAUGUUUUUGUUGUGCAAUUUUGUCUGUUUGGCUCUACAACACGUGACUUUUGACAAAAAAGUAAACAUAUUGGAAUGUAAAAUACACAACUGGAAUUUAACUAUUAUUACCUCCCUUGGGUUGCCUCCCAAGAAGUGCUUCUUUCACGUCCAUAGCUUGACAUAUGACUAUUCUAUGGUUUGUUGAGCCGGGCCUCUUCCACCAGGCCAGUUUUCUGUCCUUCGUAGUAAGGUUUAAACAUUUGACCAUUUACCUUGAAAGUGUCCCCAAUGGUAUUGUUCUUCAACUCAACUUCCCCAUGCAGGAAUACUCUGUGUAUCGUGAACAGACCAAACCAUCUAGACUUCAAUUUUAAAUGAAAUAGCUUCAACCUGGAAUUAAACAAGAGAACCAGUUGGCCUUCCCAAAAUUCCCUUUUUUGAAUCCUUCGAUUAUGCCAUUUUAUUUGUUUGGUCUUUAUACAUUUUGGCAUUCUCGUAAGCGCGAUUCCUAAACUCUUAUAACUCAAGGAGAUGAAGAAUUCGGGAAUCCCCCGCUUUAGAUAUAUCAUAAUUGAAGAAUUUGGUGGCCUACAACACCCUGUGUUUCAAAUCUAGAGGUAAAUGAUAAGCUUUUCGUAAACUAGUUUAUAAGGGGACAUACUUAUAGGUGUUUUGUAUGUUGUUUGGUACACCCAUAAUGCAUCAUCCAACUUUGUUUCUUAUUCUUUACCGGAAGCAUUCAAAUUCUUCUCUAGAAUUUGCUUGAUUUGUUUAUUCAAGACUUCCACCUACCCACUUGUUUCAGGAUGGUAGGGGGUAGCAAUUUUGUGCUUCACAUUAUAUUUUUUAAGCACGUUUUCCAUGAGGCUCUUUAGAAAAUAUGUACCUUCAUCAUUUAUCAGUGCUUUUGGAACCCCAAAAUUUUAUGAAGAUAUUCGUUAUCAGGAAUUUCACUACAAAUUUAGCAUCAUUUGUGGGAAAUGCCACAACUUCUACCCACCUAGACACAUAAUCAACUGCCACAAGAAUAUAAUUAUGACCAAAAGAAGGUGAAAAUGGUCCCAUAAAAUUUAUUCCCCAUACAUAAAACAGUUCCACCUCCAAAAUAGAAUUAUGGGGCAUUUGAUUCCUCUUUGAAAUGUUACAUGUUUGUUGGAAACUAUCCCAUUCUUGUACAAUGAAUUGAGCAUCUUUGGACAAAGUAGGCCAAUAUAACCCAAAUUGGAGGACUUUUUUUGUUGUCCUAUCAACACUAAAGUGUCCUCCAUAUUUUGAAUUAUGACAAUCCUUGAGGAUUUCCCUUUGCUAUCCUUUGGGGACAUAUCUUCGGACCAACCCGCCUAUCCCCUUUUUAUAAAGGAAUGGAUCGUCCCAUAGGUAGAACUUGCAAUCCUGUACAAACUUUUUCCUUUUGUUAGAAUCAAAAUCAUCAGGUAUAACUCCACCUACCAAGUAGUUCGCAAAGUCUGUAAACCAUGGAACACCCGUUAUGGCCAAGAUGCGCUCAUCAAAAAAGGCAUCCUUAAUAGGGCGUGUCUCUUCUAUUUCCUCAAUCAUGGACAUGCAGGACAAGUGAUCCGCCACAGUAUUCUCACACCCCUAUUUAUCCCGAACUUCAAGAUCAAACUCUUGAAUAAAUAGUAUCCAUCUUAAGAGUCUUGGCUUUGAUUCCUGCUUAGUAAAAAAUAUUUUAAAGCAACGUGGUUAGUAUAGACGAUGACUUUUGACCCUAAUAAAUAAGACCUGAAUUUGUCAAAAGAAUAAACAACGGCUAAAAACUCCUUUUUGGUAGUGGAAUAAUUCAUCUGUGCAGUAUUAAGAACAUGACUAGCAUAAUAUAUCACAUGUAACAAUAGGUUUCUUACUUGUCUUAACACAGACCCCACUGUAGUGUCACUAGCAUCACACAUGAUCUUAAAAGGUAGAGACCAAACAGGGGAAACUACUAUUAGUGACGAAACUAAAUUGCUCUUCAAAGUUUCAAAUGCCACCUUACACUNAGGACAAGUGAUCCGCCACAAUGUUCUCACACCCCUAUUUAUCCCGAACUUCAAGAUCAAACUCUUGAAUAAAUAGUAUCCAUCUUAAGAGUCUUGGCUUCGAUUCCUGCUUAGUAAAAAAUAUUUUAAAGCAACGUGGUUAGUAUAGACGAUGACUUUUGACCCUAAUAAAUAAGACCUGAAUUUGUCAAAAGAAUAAACAACGGCUAACAACUCCUUUUUGGUAGUGGAAUAAUUCAUCUGUGCAGUAUUAAGAACAUGACUAGCAUAAUAUAUCACAUGUAACAAUAGGUUUCUUACUUGUCUUAACACAGACCCCACUGUAGUGUCACUAGCAUCACACAUGAUCUUAAAAGGUAGAGACCAAACAUGGGCAACUACUAUUAGUGACGAAACUAAAUUGCUCUUCAAAGUUUCAAAUGCCACCUUACACUCUUUAUCAAAAGUAAAAAGGUUGUCUUUUACAAGCAAAUUAGUCAGUGGCUUUGCAUUUUUUGAGAAAAUGCCACCUUACACUCUUUAUCAAAAGUAAAAAGGUUGUCUUUUACAAGCAAAUUAGUCAGUGGCUUUGCAUUUUUUGAGAAAUCUCUUAUAAACCAGUGAGAAGAACCUGCAUUUCCCAAGAAACUCCUUAUCCCCUUUUCAUUCACAUGGGAAAGGAGGUUUGCAAUAACCUCAAUUUUGUCCUUGUCAACUUCUAUUCCUUGGUGUGAAAUUUUAUGACCCAACACUAUACCUUCUUGUACCAGAAAAUGAUAUUUUUCCUAAUUCAUGAUCAAGUUAGCUUGUUGGCACCUUGCAAAAACAAGAGACAAGUUAGUCAAACAGUUAUCAAUAGAAGAACCAAAAAUAGAAAAAUCUCCCAUAAACACUUCCAUGUGCUUUUCAAGCAUGUUAGCGAAUAAACAGAUAUCAAUAGAAGACCAAAUAUAGAAAAAUCAUCCAUAAACACUUGCAUUGGUUUUCAAUCAUAUGAACAAAGUUGUGAAUAUGUGAGGCCACUUUGACUUUUAUUUUAAUGAAUAUUAUCCAUGUGAAUCUAAUAAAGUCAUCAAGUAUAAAUAAGAAGUACUUGUGACCAUGAACAAAUGGAGUUGCAAUUGACCCUCAAAUGUCAAAUAUUAGUAAUUCAAAUUCGGUAGGGGCAUGAGAUGAGCUAACACAAUAUCAUCAUUUGAUAAAGUGACAAACACCACCCACACAUUUAUCAUCAUUGUUGAUGGAAAUGUAUUUUUUUGUCAUAUCAUAUCAUCUAUGAUUUGAUAGGUUCCAUAAUUUGAAAUGCCAAAUGGAAUUGUAAAGAAUUGGUCAAUGAACCAACAAUUAAAAAAUUUGGUGUUGCUUGCUGAAAAAGAAAUAAUAGUUUUGAGAAAAUCAAAGUUACCUAAGUUUGAUUUUUUUGGUGGAUGGCCAAAAUAAAUCUUUUUUAUUUGGUUCAUUUUUCUUAUAAUAGAAAACUUACAAGUUGAUCAUACUUAUCUUGAGAUAAAACAUGUGCAUGAUCCUUUAAUUGUGAUGAUUCAUUUGUUCUAGUUAAAUGAUGAGCAUUAAGGAUUGAGUUAUUAUGAGCAUUAGCAAGUGCAAAUGAAUUAUUUACAUGGGAGUGACCAUGUUUUUAUAACUUAAAUAAAUGGUAUGGUUGUGCUUAUUACAAUGUGUGCGGUACCUUGGAUUAGUCUAUCCAAAUUAAGUAUAAUCCUUAAAUUUGAAUCAAAAACAAUAAUGAAGCCAGACGAAAAUUACUUUUGUGUCCGCCCUAUUGCCUUGGGUAUGCAUAUGCUAGGGGGUGGGGUGCUGUGAGAGUGGGCCAUGGGAGAUAUCUUGCAAUCAAUGAGGACAUUUCAGAACAUUCCAGCAACGCCUUGCAAUGCAGCCUCAGAAACUAACAGCAAAGACAGAUAGUAUAUGUUGGAGGGAGUUUGAAUUUAGAUCGAAAAUCUUGACAAUUCGCCGACUGUCUCUUUCUUGAAAAGAUGCACUCUUAUAUCGAAGUAGAGGACUCCUGCCAUAGGACGAUAAGCAUUCUCCUUCAAAUAAUCAUUCCAUGUUCUUUUUCUUCGCGCAGAAUCUGCAUAAACUUGUUCUUUCUCAUCCCAUCAAGACCUUUAACCCUUAGACCGUUUCCAGAAUUCUGCAGCUUUAUUAUCAAAUAAACUUCGUAGGCAUAGAGUAGUUCAUGCAUGCUUCGGAGUGGCAGGUACAGUUAGGCUGCCUGCGGAGUCUGAGUAGGAAUGACCUGCUCCUUAGCCAAUAACUGUGGUGCUGAAGAACACCUAUGGAGUGUACUGUUUUGGUUCGUAACUACUCCCGGCAGUCUCAAUUCUCGAUUCGCUCCCCCUCUGCUGAUCUCCGCUCUUUCCUCUCUGUCCAAUUGGGACCCCUGUGCAAAUUGAUUCAGUAUCAACUCACGACUUUCUGCGUCAGAAAUCGGAUUUCUUUUUCAACGUCAGCAAAUAAUAACAAUAUAUUGCUCGAGAAGAAGUCUUCUAAUAAUACCAUCGAAAGCGACAAAGCAAAAUCCAAAAGUUUCUUGUAAAGAUCUUACAGAAAUCAGACCCUUAACAUUGGAUUAGUUUCCCGAAAUCUUGCAACUAUAUAGGAGUAAAUCCAUACGUAGAGCUAUCUACGCUAUGGAAUCGCAAAUGCCUGAACCCCUCUCGAAGAAGAUAGAAUAUUAAUGAGCUCUGUCGUGUUAUUUAUCUACAACAGAAUUUGAUCUAAUAGGUAAUCACUCCUAAACACCGCAACAUGAUUAUUGUUAUUUUCCUCAAGAAACUUUUCUUACAUCAAAAACAUCAUUGUCUACCAAAUAGAUUGCGACUUGCAAAAUUAGAAACUGUGCGUAGACAAAUAUCAGCGAUCAUCUUUACAGCCUUGAUUUCCAAUGUGCAUGUUCUCUUUGAAUAUUUACAUCUUCCUUACCUUUCAACUUGUUCGCAGUUAUUUGUGCUGGCCUAGUACAAAACUUCUCACCAUAACAGCGCAAUCCGCAUCAGAUAGUACCGAAUUUGUCUAUCGAACCACCCCAAAACCAUGGCUCCGAACCUUACUUUGUAAACAAAACCAUCGAAUUUGUGCUCACGUCAUGUCACCUCUUCAGAUUCCCUACUAUGAGUUCCUUGGUACUUCAACACUUAUUCCUUUCCUUUCGUCUGGUUCAAGCUAGUGUUUAAAUGUUGAAACUCCGUUCCGAGUGGUUUAGAACACGGAGAUUAGGCUCUAAACAUUUUCACACGUCAGAAGAUGCUUUAUCCUCCGAGAGAGUAAUAGGAUUCUUGAUCAAUUUCACUCUUGAAUCCUCUUUUUGAGAUCCCAUCACAACAGGCCCAGCUACAUUUGAAAAUGGAUCGUUGUUAUUACAUAUACCCCCAAAUAUGGAUCAACAUGCGACCAUGACACAGUCCAUUUUAGGAUUUGGUAGGUCCUUGCUGAUUAGAGGAGGUGUGUAAAAGUGAGAGGAGCUGCUGGGAAGGGUCUCUUACACGUGUGGUGGAGGCAAAAUAAUAUAAUAGAUUGCGACUUCUAAAACGUUGAGGUAACAAUAAUUGGCAAUCGCGUAUGCGAGUACUUUGAGUCAUACGGUACCUUUCAUCAUUCUUUUCACUAUAAUCGCUCCAAAAUUCAUUGUUCAAAUUCCUUUACAAUACUGCUGUGUAACCUCUUAUCAAAGAGUCUCCGAGAUGAGCCUGAAGUACUUUAUCUCUCAAUUUGGAGGCUCUUUAUUUUCGUUCAAAACCUUUGAGCUUUCUUUAGAUAGUGUUGAGUCCUGCUGCGCUCUGUGUGUAUAUCUCAGAUUUAUCUUUUCUGUGGGUUUUUUUGUUUUUCAUUAAAAUCUUAUUGAUUCUUUUUUCUACUUGUUUCCUCUUUUUUUCUUCUUCAGGUGCAAUCACUUUUUUUUGUUUACUAUAUGGCAACUACCAAACCUUAAAAGAGGUUACUAUUAACAUCCAAAAUAACCCUUCAAACUCUAAAUGAAACAUAGAUUCCACAAAAUAAAAGAUACCUAAUAUGAACCGGGUAGGGGAAAGUGGGGUUUUAGGGAUUAUUGGUUCAGAUAUGUAAUUAGUAACAAAUUAAAGGGGAUUAACGCUCAACAUGGUUUACAAAGGAUAUACUAAAUUAGAACGAGAUUGGCUAGAAAGGCUUCAAGGGUGUAAACCAUGUGGCCCUUAAGUGGUGGGUGUAAUAUGCAACAGGACCUAUCCACAAAAAGAGGCAGACAAGGUCUAGAUUGAAAUAUUAAUACUGAAAAUGGUCCCCCAUAGGAAUGAAAAUUUGUUGGUUUGGCCUUUUUUUCUGUUCUCCACCAUGGUUGAUUAAGGGCCACAAUUCCAAAAGUGCCUCCGCAUGUGAAUGCAACCUUUUCAUUAUUUCCAACUGUGACUUACACCCUUUCAUAAAAAUGUCCCCAGAGAACAGUCAAAUCGCGUUCAAAAAAUAUUGUCCACGCUUUUGGUAAUAGCAUCGAAUUGGGCAGACAACUUGUCUGGUUUGUUUCCACAGUCUACCGCUCCCAUUCGAGUUAUCAUCACUUAAAUAACAUUAAACCCAUAAAAUGAAUAAACUUGAAAAUACCAAGAAUUCUAAUAGAACCCUCCCUGAGUUUUGUGGCAACACAUAGAAAAAACCAAAAAUGAAAGAUACAUCUAGCUUCCAUCAAAUUCAAUAAAGUUAAAAAAACUAAAAUCAAAGAUAAAAGAUAAGUAAAAAUAAAAAGCUAUCUCGUAUGGUCCUAAUAGUUUUUAUCCAUGGAAGUGUAGCGCUGAUCAAUGGGCAUAUUGGGUCCGCCAUGAGCACAAAGGAUUGAAAUUGGAGGAAAUGAUACAAAGGUGAUGGAGGUCGCACUAAAAAACGUCUCUCGCAGCCCUGGGCCACUCCUUCCUCGUUCCACUUGCAAUGGUGAGGUAUCGACAGCCAAGCCCAAUAUGUUGAUAAAAAAUCUUGCGUAAAAAUAAACAUGGACCAUUCCGUUAAGUUGUUCUUGAGAGUCCAUACAUAAGCAAGUAUGAACUCUCUCAAGUACAUACUAUGGGUGCCGGGCUGUCGAUAAUGUUCUGGAUCUAGUAGGCUUGCUGGAAUUGUUCCUUCCAGUUAGGUGUUUUCCUCCUAGGGUGCUCGGUUAAUCGACCCACCAUCCAAUGGUCGUGUCGGGUUCAACCAUGAAGCAUCCAGUGAAAUUUCGGUACCCUGACUUUCCCUAAAGAGGAUGACAAAAGCAUAAUUCCCAGAAAGCUUGUUGACUUGACCUUUGGGCAUCUCUCCAUGUCCAGUACAAAUACGACCGACGUUAACAACGUCGUUUCAACGAGAUCAAUAUAAGCAAAGCUCACUGUGAUGAGUUAUGACCACUCCGACUUAGUGUCCAGAGUGUUGUGCAAAGAAGUAGGCCCAUGCCUUCAAUAACAACAUGAGAUCCCUACGCCACUCCUGAAUCGGGGUAGAAGCAGGCUUCUGAUAUCUUUCCCUCAAGUUGCCAAUCCAACCCAACCACCACUGGGCAAGGCUAUCCAGUCCACAGGACGUCUUUCAUUCUGAUAUCUCCAAUAGUUCGACUCUCGAAACUUCAUCUUUAAUAACAUGUUCAAUUUAUUUUCCAGUCAUACUGGCAUUUGCUUCCUGUAGCACCUCAAUUUGCACCUAUCAUAUAACAUACCAUUUCAUAUUAGGUCACUAUCAUGAAUGCAUUGCAUAGCAAUUGGCAUUGCGGAUCACCAGUUUUGCCCUCAAAGAGCCAAGGCAAGCAAGAAAUUAGGUUCAAACUGAUCAGGAAGAUGAGACCAACCUAAAUCAAGCAAAGGUUUGUUUCUCAAAGGAUCACAAGGUCCCUAGGGUUUAGUCCCAACAAGUUCAACAUGACUUGGAGGCUUUUUUUUGAAGUGCACAAACCAGGUCAAAACCCCUAGAACCAGUCACAAUCAGUCAAGCAGUGGAAUGGUGGCCAAUUCUGUGGAAUUUUGGGCACAAUGAUCAAUCAUCAAGAGUUCAUUGUCUUGGGGACAUCAAAUUUUGAGUCCAAGAUAUCUAGGAACUAGGGUUUGGAUUUCAUCAGAAAGUGCACAGUACAAAUUCCAAACCUAGAAAGUCAACAGUUUGGUAAUUGUGUUGAUAUGAUAUUGAUUGGAUUUAAAUUUGUUUGAAGGAGUUAAUUCCAUGCUUGUAUAAGCGUACAUCUAUCAAUUCCCCAACUCAUAAAUGGAAGAAAAUCAGCAAUCAGACAUCUUAUCCAAAAUAGAACUGGACCUGUAUAAUUCCACAACUGCCAAAAAUUAGAAACUUCCUUUGAUCCCUCAAACUUACAUUCAUGAUACAAGCUUCAAAUGAAAUUUUUUGACCACAACAUGAAAGUUGAAGAUCUUGUUCCUUACCCAUUUCCAAAAAAGUCCAAGAACUUCAAAUCCCAUGGUGGGUGGUUGUCAAAGAUAUGUCAAUCAUUUCACACAAUUUUUGAAACUUCAAACAAGCCAUAAUUUCAAAACCAUAAGGCACAAUUAUGGUGGGGUUUUUCCUACAAACCACAUUUUCAUCCUCUUUCCAAAAAUAUAAUUUAAUGACCUAAAAACAUUACAUUCAAAAUGGCAUUUUUGGACCUUUUCAAUUUAAAUCAAGUUUGACUCACAUUGACUUUUUGAUUUAUGGACUUUUUCAAUUUUUGCAUUUGGAAAAAUGGUUCUAAUCACAUGUUGUGAACUUGUCUCCAGCUUUAAAAAGCAAUGCAUUUCAUAUUUCCAACUACCAAUUUUUGGACAAAUUCAAAUUGGCAAAUGGAGUCAAAUAGAAAAAGUACAUACAACAACACACUAGCCAAUUUUUUCUGUUACAAGCACAAGCAGCUAUUGGAAAUGGUCCUCCUGCCGCCNNNNNNNNNNNNNNNNNNNNNNNNNUUUUUCAGAAUAUUUGAACUCAUCAAGAAAUGUAUUGGAACAAAUGUCGUUUCCUCUUGAUAAAGAUAAUGUUGUAACAAUAUAUGAGAGGAAUUCAGUUGAAUGACACAUGUGUUUUUACCAAUAAACAUCAUCAAACCCGGUGAGGAUGAAUAGCGAUCUUCAUAAAUAGUGAACUACCGAUAAUUCUAUCAUCCUAUAUAUAAAUCUCACUGCCAUUAUCAUGUAUUGCCUCGUAUUUUGUCCCCGUGAAUUCCAAUUCCAUCAUAAAGAGUUUUAUCCCUCUAUGAAUAUCCCAAGAGACUUAGAACCUUAGCCUUAGGGAAACCCCCAAGAUAGAUCCUUAUAUGAAACACAACUUAUAAAUUUUCCAAAAUCUUUCCUUCAAUCUUAUAAACCUCCAUGAUUUCCAUGAAAGUUAAUAGUUGAGCCAAUGAAUCCAGAAUUGAUAAUGAUAGAAUGUAAUAGAUAUUUUAUUUAGAUUUCUAAGAUAUCUUAUUGGGAUAAUGUGUGCUAAUUAUCCUUGUUAAUUGAAGAACCGUAAUUGAAAUUCUUUUGGUGUUAAUGGUGUGAUCUCUCCAUUUUAAAUGAUAAAAAAAUUUUACUUGAAGCUAUUGUACUAGGGUUAAUGGAAAUUAAAUUAGUUCAUAUAUUUUUUAAUGAGGUUUAAUUAUAAAUAAAUAUAGCAUAUAUAAUAAAGUAUUUAGUGAAGAUUAAAAAAGUUAAUAAUGAUAUCAAAUGAUAACAUUAUAAAUAUUUUUUAUUUCUCAUCUAAGUGAUAAUGAGUCAUGUGUUAUAACCUAUGAAAAAUUAUAACACUGUUGAUAAAAGAUAGAUAGUACUAAAAUUAGUUCUAUCAGAAAUUUAUUAAUUACACCUUAAUAUAAAAUUAUUUAAUGACCGUAUUCUGUCAUGGUGUAUUAAAUUCAUUAAUUCCAUAUUAAAAUAUAGAUCCAUGUUGUUUAUAUACGUAUCUCUAAUUUUAAGCAGAAAAAAUGCAUAUUAUAUAUAAGUUUAUUGUUUAUAAUUUCAAAAUCCCAAGAACUUUACUGGCCAUACCAGAUACUUAUAGUUGUAACCUAAUUUUAUUAAAACAUGUGCAUCACAAUCCAAUCUCAAACUUAUUGAAUGAGAGAUGGAGCAGCACAAAAUAUUUAAAUAAGAUGUACAAGGUAUGAUUUAUUUCCAGCCCAUAAUCGUGCAGUCAAACACACCCUCCAUUCCACUUACAUGUCAAUUAGCAAAUUUGCAAAAUGCAUCAUUAAGCAUAAACCAGCUUACCAAUUAAUUAAAGGACCUUAAACAGAGGUUAUAAAGCUUCAUUUCUGCACAAAUGAGCCCUAGUUUUUGGCAGCCACCACACAGAAAUACACUCUCACUCUCAUAUUGCAUUUUGGCAAAAACGAAAAUUCUGCAAAACCCUUGAAAACCAUCGAGCCAGCCUUUGUUCCUCCAUCAUCCAAACAUCAUUUAGAGCACUUUUGAACCCCCAUUCAUCACCUGUACAGCUCCUACUUAUUCUGUUUUCCUCAAAGCUUCAACAAUGGUGAAAGGAGAUUUCAAGAACUCCAAGCUUCGCUGAGCUAAAGGGCCUCAAGGAUUCAUCAUUCUAACACAUUCUCUUCAUCUGUUUGCAUUCAUAAUCACCAAAACAACACUACAGCUCGAUUUUCUUCCAAAACAAGUAAGUAAUCGACCUUCUCUUUCUGCCAUGCCAUACUAUGUUUGUGAGAGAUCCUUGAAUACUGAUUCUAGAAUGCUAUGCCUUGUUUGAAAUGGUGCUCUCAUGAUGAAGAAAUCUUGAUUUUCAUUUUUGUGAGCAAUUGCAUUUUUCUUCGAUUUGGUUUGAACAUCACGAUUUAUUGAAAAGUGAUGAUAUAUUUGUGGUAUUGAAUGCUUGAUGAUGCUAUUGGCAUGCUUGGUUUCAUUUUCUGGACAUUUCGAAAAUUCCAUGAUUGAACAUUGAUGAAUGAAUACUGCUGCUGUCCAAACUUAUGCUACGCCCAGAUUUCCACUUGUUGUGUUUGGUUUGUUGUCAUUUUGAUGUUGCAUAGGGAUGUUCCAUUGGCCGUGCUUUUGAUUGUGUCUGUUUGAAGUUGUCUGUGUGAUGAUGGACACUGUUAUAUUCGAACCCUAGCAUUGAUUCCCAGAGAAUGCUUUUGUUUGAUUUUGUUUUUUGCUGUAUGAACAUCACUACCAUACUGUUGCCAUGCUACUGGGAUUUGAAUUGUUGAUGCUUGCAUGAGAACAAGUUGAUGUUUUUGCCUUGCUUCCUAAAACCCUGCUGUGUUUUAAACCUUAAACUUGCCAAAAUUUUGCAUGAAUGUGUGUUGGUUUAUUGCUAUCUAGGCAUGCAUGAACAUGGUUGUAUCACUCCCCUGCUGUUAUCCAUGUUUAAAUUUCUGUACGAUGAUGAACAUUGAUGUUGAAUACCAUGCUGUUGCUUGCUUUUGUUGAUGAUUGACUGAUGAAUGUUGGUGAUGAACAUAUGCACUGUUGUAUUGAACUCUACUCUGCCCAAAAACCCUCAUGAUUAUGUUUGCUCUGUUGUUCUCAAUGUUGUAUGAGGAUAGUGUCAUGGCCCUGUUAGAUUAUUGAUGAUGUUUAUUUUCGGUUGUUCAUGAUUGGUGAUGGAACACGAUGAUGCUAUUGCCCUGCUGCUGUUACAAUGAAACCCUAAUGCUGCAUGAGAUUCCCAGAAUUUGAAUUACAAUUGGCUGUUGUUGUUUGUUGUUCAUGCUUUUAAAACUUGUCCAGAAUUUAUGAACAUGCUGGUUUAUGUUCGUUUAGAUGCUGUAUGAACCUAUUGUUUGCCAUGCCUUUUACCUCAUGAUUGAUUGGAUUCCAUGUUUAUGAUGUUGGAUGAUAAAUCGUGUUGCUGCAUAAAGCCAAAAUGCUGCAUGAUGUUGAUGCAUGAACUGCUGUACCAAUGCCAUGAUAUUAUGCGUUUUUGCUCAAAUUUUGUGUUAUGAGGUUGAUGACAUGAUGCUGCUAAGCCAUGCUGUUUAUGUGCUUUUGUUUGAAAACCUAGCUCUGUCCAGAUUUCCAUGAUUUAUGUUUUGUAUUUAUUGGUUGAGAUUGCAUGUUGGAUUUCUUGCUAUGCUGUUGUGUGGUUUGGUUGAAUCAUGUUGUGUUUGAUGUGGUUGAACAUGAGCAAUCACCCUGCUGUUCAAACCUGACCAUUGCCAUGAAAACAUAUGAUUUGUGUUGAAUGUUGUUGUUUGUUUGCUGUAAUAACAUUACCAAUACCCUGCUGUUGUAUGCUUGGUCGGAUUAUGUUGCCUGAUGUUGCUGAUGCUUGCUUGAAAACACCACGAACCAUGCCUAGAAAAUCUAUGUAAAUGAUGAAUGUUGCUGUUGUUUAAUUUAGCUCUGCCCAGGAAUCUCCUUUGCUUGUGCUUGGUCUGUUGUUAAUGCUGUAUGAUGAUGAUGUUGCAUAAACAAACUUGUACCAAUGCUUUGUUUGUUUGCCAUGCUGUUCAAGUUCCAAUUGGUGAUGACUGUUUGAUUGCAUGAUGAACAUGUUGUUUUGCUGUUGUUUGAACAUAACCUGCCCAGAAUGCACAUGAGCUCGUGUUUCAUUUGUUUGUUGCAUGAUGCAUUUCAAUAUCAUGCUGCUGUGAUGGUUUGGUCGAAUUUUGUUUGGCUGAUGUGAUUACACGAGUUGCCCUGUUUCUAAAACCUUGGAUGUACGAAAAUUCCCAGAAUAUGAAUUUGGAUUGGCUGUUGUUGGCUUUUCACUUGCGCGCACUGUUCCAUUGGCUGAGAGCCAAUGAGAACAUUUCGUUCUCUUCCCUUAAACGAUGCCGUUUCAAUUAGUGGCAGGCAGAAUUACAAGUGUGCCAUCCUGUUGACCUCUGUUGACCAUUUGCCAUAUUGAUUUGUUCAUGUUUUGCUCAAAUAUUCAAUCAUCUUCAAUAAUUCAUAUUUCAUUCAAAUUAAAUCCAAAAAUCUUGAAAUUUUUUCCACAUUGUUCAUGAUUGAGUCUAGUUUUUAAUUGUGAUUUUUAAUGAAUUUUUCAUUGGUUGGAUUUUUUUAUGGUAAUUAUUUUCCCAACAUGUGCGCAUAAAUGAUACAUCCUACCAUUUCAAUUGUGAAAUACUCUUGACAUAUCCAUUGCCUCUGAAAUUUUUUGGGAUGAAACUAGACAUGUUCACCUUCAUUUUGGUAUAAAGUUUGUGGAUUUCCCAUUUGUAGUUUGCUGGUUAUGAUUUUUUUGAAGUCAUGUGUUACAUUUGUUGCUACACCAUGAUCAUGCAUUUUCCCUAAUUUUGUUCACAUGCUUCCCUACAUCCAAUUGACCCCAUUUUUUGCAUGAAUCAUCUAUCACAUGUCUAGUUUGUGUAUGAAUUUUCUUGGAAUUAACCAUGCUGUUUUCCAUUUAAUUGUGAAUUUUCUUCCAUACUUGGUCAUUUGUUGACUUUUUGUGCUAUGCCUUGCCAAAUCCUUUGUGAAAUCCUCAUACCAUAUUGUAUGUCCAUGAAAUUUCAUAUGUGAUAACUAGACAUCUCAAGCUUUGCAAAUGGUGUAAAUCUCAUUCAUUUCUCAUCUGUUUUCAAUCUGAUAUGUUUUUUUGAAGUUGACCCAUGCUUGUUGACUUUCAUUAUGCUUACUUGAAUUUGGUUUGACUUCAUGAUUUUAUUUGACUGCCUUCCUCUCAUCCAAAUGCCAUGAAAUUUUACAUGUCUACCAUGUUAGAUGUUAGGAUUGAGUGUGAUUUAUUUCAUGAUUUUUGAGAUUGCUUAGGUUGACUUUUGAUGCAAGUNUAUUACAUCAAUAACCUCAAACUUAAAAUGAAACAUAGAUUCAAAAAUAAAAGAUAAUAAUAUGAACAGGGUAGGGAAGUGUUUUAGGAUAUUGGUUCAUGAUAUGGUAAUU